UCGCAUCUGUGCAUGCAGCAUAUCAAUAAGCGAGGAAAAGAAACUAACAAGGAUUCCCCUAGUAACGGCGAGUGAAGCGGGAAGAGCUCAAAUUUGAAAUCUUAAAGGGUUUCCCUUUACGAAUUGUAGUUUAAAGAAGUGUUUUCUGUCGAGGUUUUGGUAAAAGUUCUUUGGAAUAGGACAUCAUAGAGGGUGAGAAUCCCGUAUUUGACCUUUACUUUCAACUUUGUGAUACACUUUCAAAGAGUCGGAUUGUUUGGGAAUGCAGUCCAAAAUGGGUGGUAAAUUUCAUCUAAAGCUAAAUAUUGGCGAGAGACCGAUAGCGAACAAGUACCGUGAGGGAAAGAUGAAAAGAACUUUGAAAAGAGAGUUAAACAGUACGUGAAAUUGUCAAAAGGGAAGCGUUUGACACCAGUGUUGUUUUUCUGAAAAUCAAUUAAAGAACUGUUUAUGCUAAGUUGUUUAGACUUUAUCAGCUAACUGUUUAGUUUUGAGCUUUUCUUUAAUGCACUUUUCAGUUAACAAGUCAACAUCAAUUUCUUUUGCUGUAAAAAAGCUUGAGGAAGGUGGCUUGAGAUUCGUCUUAAGUGUUUAUAGCCUCUUGCCUAUGCAGUCGGAGAGAUUGAGGUCUGCAGCGUAGAUCCUUCGGGGCUAAAUGCAUUUGUGCUAAGUUAUAACAUUUUAUAGACAACUUGUUGACUAUGAUUUGUCUUGUAGCUUACUCGCUUAUGUAAUUUUACCUACGCUUAGGAUGUUGACAGCAGUAUAGACUGU
RNAcentral lists this ribosomal RNA (774 nucleotides) under uncultured Neocallimastigales. RNAcentral's name for it is "partial large subunit ribosomal RNA". It matches the Rfam family "Eukaryotic large subunit ribosomal RNA", at positions 24 to 637 of the family's 3401-position model. The record is from RNAcentral. Lineage: Eukaryota; Fungi; Neocallimastigomycota; Neocallimastigomycetes; Neocallimastigales.